UACGGAGGGGGCUAGCGUUGUUCGGAAUUACUGGGCGUAAAGGGCGCGUAGGCGGUCGAUCAAGUUAGGUGUGAAAGCCCUGGGCUUAACCCGGGAACUGCACUUAAUACUGAUUGGCUAGAGACCGGGAGAGGUGAGUGGAAUUCCCAGUGUAGAGGUGAAAUUCGUAGAGAUUGGGAAGAACACCAGUGGCGAAGGCGGCUCACUGGCCCGGUUCUGACGCUGAGGCGCGAAAGCGUGGGGAGCAAACAGG
Molecule: ribosomal RNA, 253 nt
Filed under: uncultured bacterium
Lineage: Bacteria
Description: partial 16S ribosomal RNA
Rfam family: Bacterial small subunit ribosomal RNA
Source: RNAcentral